Puccinia sorghi is the source of this 123-nucleotide transfer RNA. It matches the Rfam family "tRNA". From Rfam's summary of the family: Transfer RNA (tRNA) molecules are approximately 80 nucleotides in length. Their secondary structure includes four short double-helical elements and three loops (D, anti-codon, and T loops). Further hydrogen bonds mediate the characteristic L-shaped molecular structure. tRNAs have two regions of fundamental functional importance: the anti-codon, which is responsible for specific mRNA codon recognition, and the 3' end, to which the tRNAs corresponding amino acid is attached (by aminoacyl-tRNA synthetases). tRNAs cope with the degeneracy of the genetic code in two manners: having more than one tRNA (with a specific anti-codon) for a particular amino acid; and 'wobble' base-pairing, i.e. permitting non-standard base-pairing at the 3rd anti-codon position. Lineage: Eukaryota; Fungi; Basidiomycota; Pucciniomycetes; Pucciniales; Pucciniaceae. The record is from Rfam.
GGACAUAUGGCCGAGUGGUCUAAGGCGCUAGCUUCAGGAUUAGCCGUGGUCAGCCUUAUCUGAUCAUCGCUGAAUGCCGGACCCGCUAGUCUUCGGGCGUGGGUUCGAAUCCCACUGUGUUCA